Molecule: ribozyme, 82 nt
Filed under: unclassified sequences
Description: Twister_sister_ribozyme
Rfam family: Twister_sister_ribozyme
Source: Rfam by way of RNAcentral
GCAACCCGCAAGGCCGACGGCACCCGCCGCCGCUGGCGCAAGCCCGGCGGUCUCAAACGGGGCGGGCGCUCAUGGUUACACA